GACGAACGCUGGCGGCGUGCUUAACACAUGCAAGUCGAACGGAAAGGCCCUGCUUUUGUGGGGUGCUCGAGUGGUGAACGGGUGAGUAACACGUGAGUAACCUGCCCUUGACUUUGGGAUAACUUCAGGAAACUGGGGCUAAUACCGGAUAGGAGCUCCUGCUGCAUGGUGGGGGUUGGAAAGUUUCGGCGGUUGGGGAUGGACUCGCGGCUUAUCAGCUUGUUGGUGGGGUAGUGGCUUACCAAGGCUUUGACGGGUAGCCGGCCUGAGAGGGUGACCGGCCACAUUGGGACUGAGAUACGGCCCAGACUCCUACGGGGGGCAGCAGUGGGGAAUAUUGCACAAUGGGCGGAAGCCUGAUGCAGCAACGCCGCGUGCGGGAUGACGGCCUUCGGGUUGUAAACCGCUUUCGCCUGUGACGAAGCGUGAGUGACGGUAAUGGGUAAAGAAGCACCGGCUAACUACGUG
Molecule: ribosomal RNA, 468 nt
Filed under: uncultured bacterium
Lineage: Bacteria
Description: partial 16S ribosomal RNA
Rfam family: Bacterial small subunit ribosomal RNA
Source: RNAcentral